AGUGAACGCUGGCGGUAGGCCUAACACAUGCAAGUCGAACGGCAGCACAGUAAGAGCUUGCUCUUACGGGUGGCGAGUGGCGGACGGGUGAGGAAUACAUCGGAAUCUACUUUUUCGUGGGGGAUAACGUAGGGAAACUUACGCUAAUACCGCAUACGACCUACGGGUGAAAGCAGGGGAUCUUCGGACCUUGCGCGAUUGAAUGAGCCGAUGUCGGAUUAGCUAGUUGGCGGGGUAAAGGCCCACCAAGGCGACGAUCCGUAGCUGGUCUGAGAGGAUGAUCAGCCACACUGGAACUGAGACACGGUCCAGACUCCUACGGGAGGCAGCAGUGGGGAAUAUUGGACAAUGGGCGCAAGCCUGAUCCAGCCAUACCGUGCGGGUGAAGAAGGCCUUCGGGUUGUAAAGCCCUUUUGUUGGGAAAGAAAAGCAGCAGGUUAAUACCCCGCUGUUCUGACGGUACCCAAAGAAUAAGCACCGGCUAACUUCGUG
This 492-nucleotide ribosomal RNA is filed under the name uncultured bacterium. RNAcentral's name for it is "partial 16S ribosomal RNA". It matches the Rfam family "Bacterial small subunit ribosomal RNA", at positions 29 to 507 of the family's 1533-position model. The record is from RNAcentral.